This 492-nucleotide ribosomal RNA is filed under the name uncultured bacterium. Its description in RNAcentral is "partial 16S ribosomal RNA". It matches the Rfam family "Bacterial small subunit ribosomal RNA", at positions 29 to 507 of the family's 1533-position model. The record is from RNAcentral.
AGUGAACGCUGGCGGUAGGCCUAACACAUGCAAGUCGAACGGCAGCACAGUAAGAGCUUGCUCUUACGGGUGGCGAGUGGCGGACGGGUGAGGAAUACAUCGGAAUCUACUUUUUCGUGGGGGAUAACGUAGGGAAACUUACGCUAAUACCGCAUACGACCUACGGGUGAAAGCAGGGGAUCUUCGGACCUUGCGCGAUUGAAUGCGCCGAUGUCGGAUUAGCUAGUUGGCGGGGUAAAGGCCCACCAAGGCGACGAUCCGUAGCUGGUCUGAGAGGAUGAUCAGCCACACGGGAACUGAGACACGGUCCAGAGGCCUACGGUAGGCAGCAGUGGGGAAUAUUGGACAAUGGGCGCAAGCCUGAUCCAGCCAUACCGCGUGGGUGAAGAAGGCCUUCGGGUUGUAAAGCCCUUUUGUUGGGAAAGAAAAGCAGCAGGUUAAUACCCCGCUGUUCUGACGGUACCCAAAGAAUAAGCACCGGCUAACUUCGUG